UCUCCCUUGAACAGAAAAAUGUAGAUUGUCGCACACCAUUCAAACAAAAACUUUUGGUAUGUUUACACAGUUAAUUUAAUAUCAUUAUUUUUUUUUAAUUAUUCCUGCUAAAGGAGGAAGAUAAAGACUAGGUAACAGGUAACAGGUAGAAAUAUGAUUUGGUUCGAGUGCCAAAGUUUUCAAGACGACUAAAAUUAUAUUAUAUAAAUCUACGACAACUCGCCCCCUGGAAAAUUGCCCUUUUUCACCAACUCGACCCACUUUUCAAUUUAAAAAAAACCGUGGAUAUAUAUGUAGGACUCUAAAGUGCGAUGGGGACGCUAAAGUACGAUGGUCACGCUAAAGUGCGAUGGUCUACGCUAAAGUGCGAUUCCUCCAUACGCUAAAGUCACAGGCAUCAUUUACGUUGAUAGUGGGUCUUCCAAUGGAUAGAAACAAGUGGCUGUGGCUAAAGUCCGAAGUUCUGCGAAAGUAUAGACGUAAGAAACGUAGAUGGAUUAUGACGUUAACAGUCGUUUAUACAAACUAAAAAUGAACACGCCGGAAGACAACUAACAAAUGUUUCAUUCAUAAGAACUUCAAGUUUUCAUCCAAAUGUCUAGUUUCUACAUUGCAGAAAAAUAUAACAUGGAUGUAUAGUGAUCAUGAUCUAUAGUCGCUACAAAAAAAGGAGAACAUUAAGCUCGGCAAACAUUGCUUUUCCCUCUCAUUUAAAUUAAACAAAUAAUUGUUACAUAUUCCGACAAUAAUCGAAUUUUGUAUCUGUAAUGUAAAAAGGACGAUUGUAAGAGGAUGUGUUCCCAUUAGUGUAACGGCAAUCUACACCAAUUAUCCAAAUAGUCAAUACGCUUCAUUUCACAUAAAAUAUAAUAUUUUGCGACACAUAAAUUACCUUUUUAGCAAUUGUUACGUACUUUGGUCAGUCUUUUUAAUUUAGAAACAAUCACUUUAGCCUAUCGGUAAAUUAUGAAGCCUAUCACAUAUGUUAUACCUUAGCAUACUAGCUUUUGCUAUAAAAAAAACUAUGUUUAAACCUCGAUGUUUUGAUCCCUCUAAUCUUAACUUUUUGUUCCAUCGCACUUUAGCGUGAAAUACCAUCGUACUUUAGCGAACAAACAACCAUCGCACUUAAGCGUGAGACACCAUCGUAUUUUAGCGUAGACCAUCACACUUUAGCGUGACCAUCACACUUUAGAGUACCAUUGCACUUUAGAGUCCUACAUAUAUAUAUAUAUUGACAGUGGCAGUGAGCAUAAUUGAUAAGUACUAGAUUCUAGAUGCUUUUCAAAUGGAGAUGAAUUCCAAUCAUUAAAAUCGAGAAUUGAAAAUCUAAAACAUUCAAAUUAAAUUCAAAUAUUUUUAUAUUCUUUAUGUCCUUUAUUCUUUAUGUCCUUUAUUCUUAAACAAAUUACAAAUUCAUACAAUAUCCACACAAAUAGUCCAAAUUCUGUAUUCAAAUAAUUAUGCGUCCAAAUAAUUAUGAGGUCUUGAAAGAAUAGAAUAGAAUAGAAUAGAAUAGAAUAUUUUUAUAAAUUUCCCAAAUUACAGGGCCCAUAAAGGGCUAGUCUCAAAGAAAAAAAUUAUAAUAACCUUUCAAGACGUCAUAAUUAUUUGGACUAAUAAAGGGCAUAAAAUCAGAUACAAUUGAUUUACAUAAUUGGUAACAACAACAAUAAUAGAGACAUAUAUAUACAUAUAUAUUUGGAAUAUAAGCAUUGGUCAGAAUCAAGCUAAAAACCACAUAUAUAUUCAGGGAUGAUUCCACUAUAUAGUUUAGGGCCGCUAAGCGGCCCUUAAUUCGGCCAGCGGCCCCAAAAAAAUAUACAUGAAAAUGAAUUCCCAAUUCAGGAAAAUAAAAUAAAAAUCGAUAUUUCCGAAAAUUUCUGUCACCGAUUAGGGCAACUAUAAUUUUUCAUAGUUUGUUGUCCGGAUAAGAAUGCUGUUUAUGGUCGCAUUUUAUUAACAAAGAUUUAAUUAUGUCAACAUGUGGCAAACAUUUUAGCAGCCGAAUUCAAUUUAUCAUGUUUAUUAAUAUGUUAUGGGAGUAUUCGAUCUUGUAAAAGCAGAUCGCCCAGCAGGUUGAUAAAAUGGGUGUCAAAGCAGACCUCGGCAGAGAGCAAAUUCAAAUUUUGAUAUAACAUUGAUGGAUAAAGUUUAAUGGGCGCCGAUCUCGUAAAAGUAAAUCACCCAGCAGAUGCGGUUAUAUAAUAUGAUGAAAACUUGUUUUGUAAAAGAAAUUAUUUCCUCAAAAGACAAAAGUUUGAGCGUUUUUUGAAAAUAAUAUUGAUGAUAGACCAUUCAUAAAAUACGAUGUCAUCAUUAUGGAACUAUUUCAAAAGUUUUGAAGAUGAUCCAAAUAAUUUUAAAGAACGCUGGUUCAAUGCUUUAAAUAUCUUAUCAAUUAAGUAUAUGAACUUUUGUAAUUGCUUUUCUGAAUUCGACAAUUGACCAGUUCAAUUUGAAAUCCAUUUGAAUCAAGGUAAAUUUAUAGAGAUGACCUGCUGUUGAAAAAAUACCCGAUGAAUGAUUUUUUUAAGUGGUUUGUGUUAGCUGAAAUAUAUGUUUUUGUAAUAGGCCUAGGUAACUAUAGCUAAGGUGAUAGACUAGUAGUGCAUCAUGUUCAAUGAUAUUCAUGUAAUAACAGUAGCCCAUCCAGAAUUAUUCAAAACUUACAUGAACAUCAGUGUACAGGUUAAACUUAAUAAUAUACAUUUUCCGUUUUUACAGGAAAGUAUUGUUAUUUCGUCUUAGAUUUUAUGCUUAAAAAAUUCCCAAUUAGAAUAAAAAUUCCCAAUUUGAUGUUCAAGGGACCCGUUUGAAAACACCUGGAAUCAUCCCUGAUAUUGUGAAUAAAAGAAUAAUAAAAUUACAUUAUACAUGCAUGUUUCUCGUUUCUCGUUUUGUUUAUAUAGAUUAGACCGUUGGUUUUCCCGUUUGAAUGGUUUUACACUAGUAAUUUUGGGGCCCUUUAUAGCUUGUUGUUCGGUGUGAGCUAAGGCUCCGUGUUGAAGGCCGUACUUUAACCUAUAAUGGUUUACUUUUUAAAUUGUUAUUUGUAUGGAGAGUUGUCUCAUUGGCACUCACACCACAUCUUCCUAUAUCUAUAUAUGUAUUUAUUCUCAAAUUAUUUACUUGACUUAGUGUCAGUGUUCAGACCUGAUCUCCUUAAUUCAAAACAGUCACAAAUAUAACAGCCCAGUUUUUCCAUAAGUGGGUCAAGAGCCAUAAAAAUUUAGACAUGUUACAAGAUUUAUUUAAAUUUAUAAAAUUAUAACAAUUGUUAGAAAUGUCUUGAAAAAAAUCGUCCCUUUGAAGAAUAUAUAAGCCUUUUAAGACAUCACAAUUAUUUUGGACUACCACACACAAACAACACAUGCAAUCUAUUUACUCUUCCUUGUCACAGUGGUGUAGCUUGCAUGUAUGCUUAGAUGAGGGUAGCUUAUUGUCAGCUAAGGCUAGCGCAGAGGAUGAUGAUACGCAGUCCUGCGGACAUGUUUGGUAUGAAAUUUAGUCAAGCGCAGCUAUGACAAAGCUAUGUUACUAGCCAUGCUAGUUAACAACUAAACCAUAAUAUCCUUAUAUAUAUAUAUAGUUUCCUGUAACACGGAAACAACGUGAUAAAAACUCUAUUUGUAUUGGAGUGUUAUCAUUCCCGGGGUCAAAAUACCAUGAGGUAAAAUUUCCUGUGACACUAAAACAACAUGAUAAUCCAAGAGCUGAUUGCCCUGAGGUGGAAGAAGGUGAAUAAAAGGUAACUUGAAUUACCAUAAAAGCAGCCCCACUAACCCAGACUGCUUUGUACCAUUAUCGUUAUGACGUAUUUUUUUUCUUCAAACAAGAAUGUGUCAUAAGUACAUGGAUUUCCCAUCCGUACAAUCAUUUUAUGUUCAGUGGACCAAGGAAAAAAUUAGGUCAAAUCUUUAAUUUGGCAGUAAAAUUAGAAAUAUCACAUCAUAAGGAACACAUCUAUAAUACUAAAAUAACGAGGUCCAAUUUGUCAGCCGUCAUGGGGUAAAAACGACAAAUCAAAGAAUUUAACUUUAUAUAUAUAGCUAAUAUAGGACAACGGUGUUGAUUAAAAAUUACACCACUCCAGACCCUUUUGUUUUCCACAUAAUUAAUAUUGCCAAUAAUUAACAAGUUCCGGGUCGAAUCGGAUACCGAUACCAAUAGUAUAUUCACAUGUUACCUAUUACCUUAUCUAUACGUUCCGCAUCUGACAGGCGCACCAUUAGGAUUUUGCUAAAUACACGGGUCAUAAUCACAGGGUUGACACUACUAAAUUCAAUCAUUGUCACAUUGUUCCCUAUUGUAGUAUUUUAAUUAAAGUAUGACUUUCUAAGAUGACAAUAUGAAUACUAAAAAUCUGGACUUAAAAUAAUGCGUAUAUAUACAGUUUUCAAUUUGUUUGCCGGCAUGACGUAAAACAUGGAAUCAAAGAAUUCAACUUAUUUAUAACUAAUACAAGACAAUGCUGUUGAUUAAAAAAUACUCCAUUCCAGGCCCUUUUGUUUUCCAAAUGAUUAAUAUUACCAAUAAUUGAUAAGUUCCAGGUUGACGGGUUCAAACAGAAAGAUUUUGAAAGAAGAAAAAACUGUACAUCUUAUAAUCGGCAUUACUUUAUCAGAUGACAAUACCAAUACUAAAAUAAGGCUUACGCAUAUUUAUAUACUUUAAUUCAGUCACCGACCCACGAUAUCAAGGGUGUGUUCUAGUGUGUACUAAGUUUCAAGUUGAUUGGAUUUCAACUUCAUCAAAAACUACCUCGACCAUAAACUUUAACCUGAAGCAGGACGGACGGACAGACCAGAAAACAUAAUGCCCAUAAAUGGGGCAUAAAAAUAGUAAGACUUGUUACAUACCUGCCAACUUUUGAAAGUUUCCAUGUUUUUUUUUAGUGCGCAACAACAAUUUUAAAGGUUACAAUUUUUAGCGAAGUAUUUUGCACGAUCUGGAUUGUCUAGAAAAAGUGUCAUAUUUGUAUGAUGAGCUUACAUGCCUUUUUCUUAAGUCUGUUUGCAUGAUUCUAGUUAUUAAAUCAGUAGAAAAGAUGAACAUGUAGCUAGCAGACCAGGGUUUAUUUUCUUGAGUAAGAAUAUUAGAUGCUUGUUGAAAUUUCCAAUUUUGAAUUAUGCACAAAGAUAGACCUUUAACAGGUUGGGAACAAUACUCCAAAUGAGGGAUAACCCUCAUUGGAAGAACAUUACAACCCACUGUAAAAAAUAAGCACCUUUAUAUUCAUAUUAUUUGAUAAACUUUUCCCCAAGAACUAUGCAUCUAUCAAGUAUUAUUAAGAAAGUGAAACAACUCCCAUAAGCAUGUUAGGCAAAAAUCAUAAGCAAUGAACUUCUGUUUUUAAAUACAUGCUUUACUAAUAAAGAUAAAGACAAUUUAACCCAAAAAAAAAUUAUGAGCAUCAUCCUUUUUAAAUAAACGAAGCCUUAAAUGUUAUGUUUCUGACAUAAGAUUUGACAGAUUUUAUUGUUUCAGACAUAAGAUUUGACAGACUUUAUCAUUUCUGACAUAAGAUUUGACAGACUUUAUCAUUUCUGACGUAAGAUUUGACAGACUUUAUUUUUUCAUAUAUAAGAUUUGACAGACUUUUUUUUUCAUACAUAAGAUUAGACAGACUUUUUUUUUCUGACAUAAGAUUUGACAGACUUUAUUUUUUCUGACAUAAGAUUUGACAGACAAAUUGAGUUUCUGACAUAAGAUUUUGACAGACUUGAUUCUGACAUAAGAUUCUUCAUACAUAAGAUAUUUUGACAGACAAUAUAUAUUUGUUUUUUUUUACUGACAUUGGAAAUCAAAUCCUAGUUGAAAGUCAUUUUUAAAACUCCUGGAAAAUACUGCAGCCUAACAUCUAACAAGAUUUCACCUCAGGUCAAACAACUUUAACUGUUAGCACAUUCAAAUGUUUCCAGACAUAAGAAAACAAGUUUGACAGAUCUUAUGUAGGAAACAUAUUUAAAAGUUUAAACUAUUGCUUGAAUAAAGUUAAAUAAAAGGAUCAACAUGUGUUUUUUUUUAUGCACAGCAUGAUUUACAGUUUUAACUGGCAUAUAUUGGAACCAACAAUGAUUUCGAAAGUUUUUACAGCAAUAUUCCUGACAUAAGAUUUAUUGACAGACACUGAGCUAUAAAGCAAAAUAUUUGAAAGUGAAAAAAAUAUAUAUAUCACAGAUGUUUUUGACUAAAAAAAGUAACUGAUUUGGGAACAGGGAUGUUUGAAUAACCAGACUACACUAUAAAAUACCAGUAUACAAGCAUGACAAGUGUCAAAAUAAAGCAUUGCGACACAUAAACAUUGUGUAAAAAAAUGGGAGUUAAUUCUGUCAAAAUUUUUUGCAUUUUUUCACUUCAUCUAACAUCAUUUAUUAUUCAUCAAAACAUUCACAGAUUAUCUUUAAAAUAACAGUAAUUAUUAUUUUUAUUUAUUUAUUCAUCUUGACAGACAUUUUCAUUUCUUACAUGGAAUCUGCAGCCUAUUGUAAGUUUGUUAACACCAAUGGAUUGUUAUGAGAUUUGCACAGAAGCUCACCAUUCCCCCUAUCCUGUCCCUCCCCUCCCAAAAAAAAUAAUUAAAAAUAAUUACAAACUCUUGAAUCAUAAAGAAGCUCCCCUUUAAAAAAAAAUAAGAAUGUAAGAAUGCAUUGUGUAUUUUAUAUGUAUACUAUUGUUUUUCUGUUUGUCUUUUUCAUUUUUAGCCAUGGCGUUGUCAGUUUGUUUUAGAUUUAUGAGUUUGACUGUCCCUUUGGUAUCUUUCGUCCCUCUUUUAUACAGCUGAAGAAAACAUCAAUACAUAUGAACAAUAUAAUCAUUUAAUAUAAAUGCAGCAUGAUGGAACGACAAUGAUGUUUACACAUAAAUACUUAGAACAUCUUCUAUCAAAAGACAAAAAAAGGCAACUUAUGAAUGCAAAUAUCUAAAGCAUAUAUCUCUGAUCUUUUGUCCCCCAAGGGUGACUGGGGUAUAGAAAUAUGGUCAAUUGGUCUUCUCCCGACCGGCAGUAAAACGCUUGCCGAAGUGGGGCGUCCGUUUGGCUGUGCGGGAUGUAUCAAGUUCGCAGUCACGUCCGUCAGAAGGGGACGUUAAAUCCGAUGCCUCGUGUAAAGAGAGUGCCACGCUCUUUGCACGUUAAGAACUCUUACAACAACUCUUUUGAGGGGUCUGUAGGUGGCCUGUUGUAAGGCAAAAUUUCUGUCCCUAUCCAAGAUACCCUCAUUUCCCAGUGGCAGUCCAAAUUUCCCCGACCAUCAUCCCAGAUGGCCUCUAUCAUAUCAACCUACCUAAUUGUAUUUAUUGUGAACUUGUUCUCGUCCUGAAUAUGCAUGAAAUAUUUGCCACUGGAUGUUAAGCAACCAACAAUCAAUCAAUCAAUCUGAUCUUUUGUAUCUAAUCUUAUCGAAAAAAAUUCAAAUUGGGAAAUGUUGAUAGGUCAUGUUUACUGUAAGAUAACAGCUGAGUGAAAGUUGUAAAUGUGUACCCUGUCAGCACAGGGGCGGAUCCAGGGGGGGGAUUUCCGGGGGUGCGCACCCCCCUUUAUUUUUGCCGAUCAAUGCAUUUGUAUCGGGACAUAUGUUUUGCACCCCCCUUUGACCUGGGUGCCCUGGGUUAGCACCCCCCUUUCGAAAAUUCCUGCAUCCGCCCCUGCUCCCUCUUGUCGCCAUAUGAUCAUCCUUUAUAGCCAUCCUCACCAUGAGUUAUGGUGUAUAAAUGAAGACGUUUGGAACCUGUUUUGGUACAGAUUAAUUUGAGCAUUUGUCUACCGAUUUCCCAAGCCAGGCCGUGAAGGGUCUUAUUGCCAGACAGUUAACCUUACCCAUACAUAAUCCAAUGUAAUAAAAUAAAACAUACCAACUCAGCCAGUCCUCAAAGUAUAAAAGUGCAAAACUGUAACAGGUGUACUUUUUCUAUGUAUCUGAUAUCCUUUUUAGCUCACCUGGCCCAAAGGGACAAGUGAGCCUAUCUCAUCACUUGGUGUCCGUCAUCCGUGUCCUUCAUCGUCAUUGUUAACUUUUACAAAAAACUUUUCCUCUGAAACUACUGGGCCAAAUUUAACCAAACUUGGCCACAAUCAUCAUUGGGGUAUCUAGUUUAAAAAAUGUGUCCAGUGACCCAGCCAACCAUUCAAGAUGGCCACCAGGGCUAAAAAUAGAACAUAGGGGUAAAAUGUAAAUUUUGGCUUAUACAGUAUAGCGGGUUAUUUUCGUGGGUGUAAAAUUUCACGAUUUUCAUUGAGCAAGGUAUACGGAAUAUUUUGCCGGUUUUUAUUUUGACAGAUUCAAAACCUUAUGAAUGCCUUUGAAUGUGCCGUUUUAAAUUGGCAGAAUUUAUUUUGGCGAUUUUGUUUUAUCUGCGUAAAUAAGCCAAAAUUGUCACCCCUCGAAAAUAACCCGCUAUACAGUAUCUCUGAAACCAAAGCAUUUAGAGCAAAUAUGACAUGGGGAAAAAUUGUUUAUCAGGUCAAGAUCUACAUGUAUUUGCCCUGAAAUUUUCAGACAAAUUGGACAACCCAUUGUUGGGUUGCUGCUCCCGAAAUUAGUAAUUUUAAGGAAAUUUUGCAGGUUUUGCUUAUUAUCUUGAAUAUUAUAAAAGAUAAAGAUAAACUGUAACCGCAAUAAUGUUCAGCAAAGUUAGAGAUCUGCAAAUAAGUCAGCAUGACCAAAAUUGUCAGUUGACCCCUUAAGGAGUUAUUGCCCUUUAUAGUCAAUUUUUAACCAUUUUUCCAACAUUUUAGUAAUCUUUUUAAAAAAUCUUCUCCUCUGAAACUAUUUUUAACCAAACUUGUCCACAAUCAUCAUUAGGGCAAUGUAGGGUAUUUAGUUUAAAAAAUGUGUUUGAUGAUCCCGCCUGUGAACCAAGAUGGGUGUCAUGGCUUAGAAUAGUACAUACAUGUAGAGUAAAAUGCAGUUUUUGGCUCAUAUCUCAGAAACCAAAGCAUUUAGGGCAAAUCUGAUCAGGAUAAAUUUCUUCGAUAAGUCACGGUCUGUCUGCCCUGAAAUUUGUAAACCAAUCAGGCAACCCGUUGUUGGGUUGCUACCACUGAAUCGGUAAUUUUAAGAAUAUUUUGCAGCUUUUGGUUAUAUCUUAAAUAUUAUUUAUAUAGAUACAGAUAAACUGUAAACAGCAAUAAUGUACAGCAAAGUAAGACCUACAAAUAAUUCAGCAUGAUCAAAACGGUCAAUUGACCCCUUAAGGAGAUAUUGCCCUUUAUAGUCAAUUUUUAACAAUUUUCAUAAAGGAGUAGGUACAGUAAGACCCCUUUUUGGCACCAAAAUAUAGCAGUUUUACAUAGUUGUUAAAAUGUAAACUUUUAGUUACUUAUUGGAAAGUAGAAUGCUUCUGCUACAUAAAUAUGGGCUGUUUUUGACAAAACAAUGCUUAUAUAUCGGGUACUAUAGCACCAAUAAGUCAUGCUAACCAUUUCCCAAGCCAGGCCGUGAAGGGUCUUAUUACCAGACAGUUAACUUUCCCAAUACAUAAUCCAAUGUAAUAAAAUAAAACAUACCAACUCAGCCAGUCCUCAAAGUAUAAAAGUGCAAAACUGUAACAGGUGUACUUUUUCUAUGUAUCUGAUAUCCUUUUUAGCUCACCUGGCCCAUCUGAAAUCUUCACAAUUUUAGCAUUUUAGUUAAAUUUUAGAUGGUUUUCGUGUGAAAUGAAAGUGGCCGCUUUCGUGUUCAUCCUUAAUAUUGAAAUGUAAGUUGUAUUUGAUGAUAAUACGUAACAUAUAUAAAGGUUGAGGAUGAACACGGAUGCGGCCACUUUCAUUUCUGACAAAAACCAUCUGAAAAGUGACAUUUUUCAGCAUAUAUAUAUUUGCUAAAUUUUUCAUAUUUUGAGCUUGAUUCGGGUCAUUUUUAAUGACUAAAUCAGUUCAAAUCUUUCACAUAAACUAAUUGAUUCAAAUAAAAUAGACACUUCAGUGUUUAAAAAGUGAUCAAAAUCUUUCGUCAGAUAAACCUGAAAUUAGAGGCCAAAAUCGGUCAUUACCGGACCUACUCCUUUGAAUUUUGUAAAUUUUUACAAAAUACUUAAAGUACUGGGCCAAGUUUAAUAUAGAUAGAGAUUAUUGUAAGGAGCAAGAAUGUUCAAUUAACAUGAUUAAAUAAGAUCUACAAACACAUCACCAUCACCAAAACACAAUUUUGUCAUGAAUUCAUCUGUGUCCUUUGUUUAUGAUAUGCACCUAUACCAAGGUGAGCGACAAAGGAUCUUAGAGGACUCUAGUUUAAAUGUUUGUGUGCUUUAGAUAAAAUGAGACAGGGUUACCCCGGAUACAAAAUUCAAUCAAAACCGACACUGCCGAACUGCCCUGCUAUAUCAAUGGAAGAGAAAAUCUGAAAUUCCUAUUGCCUAGGUCUGAAAGUUUCCAAUGGAAACUACUAAUGGGUCCCAUAUGGGUAGAGACUGUAGUACAUGUCUCAAACAUUCAAACAAACCUGAAAAUAUCUGCAGAGGUUGGAACCCCCCAUUUUUUUGGACGAUCAAUGCAUUUGAAUGGGAGCAUAUAGUUGGAACUCCCCUCCCCUUUACUUUGGGUUGGGAAUCCCCCCUUUUAAAAUGGCUAGAUUCUCUCUACAAAUGUCAACCUCCAAACCAUGUAGGGACGACCAGCAUUCUAAACACGUGUCAACAUUUUCCUUGAAUCCGAACUUAAUAAAAUCGUGACAAUUGCAGAGAAUCACCUCAUCUAUCUUGCAAUGAGACAUGUUCUCCUCUUUCCAAUGAUAUCAUAUACAGUGAAACCUGACUAAACCGAACCCUGUCGGGACUUGAGAUUUUGUUCGGUUUUGGCAGGUAUUCGGUUUCAUCAGGUUCACAAUGCAUAAAAUGUGAUAUGAUUGGUCUUCAGAACAAGUUUGGAUUAGACAGGUUUCCGGUUUAUUCAGGGUUCGGUUUAAUCAGGUUUCACUGUACAUCUUUAUGUUAUUGCGUCAACCCAAAAUCGAUCAAAUUUGUUGACGAGGCCUUCUACUAUAUACAUGUGUCAGUGGCGGAUCCAGAGGGGGGGUUCCGGGGGUCCGCACCCCCCCUUUAUUUUGGCCGAUCAAUGCAUUUGAAUCGGGACAUAUGUUUUGCACCCCCCCUGCACCCCCCCCUUUGCCCUGGGCUAGCACCCCCCCUUUCGAAAAUUCCUGCAUCCGCCACUGUGUGUCUCUUGUGUAAUGAAGGAAUUAUUAUUAUAAUGAUACAGUUUCAAGGGAGUUAACUCUUGGCGCGAUGUUAAGUGUUUGCAUUCCCGCAGAAAGCGACGUUUGGUAAAAGUAAAUCGUGUACCUUUCCGCUGUAAUAAGAAACAUAAAGUUGAUUUUUGAUGCUCCAAUUUCAGCAUCUUUUGUGAAAAAGUUAAACACUACUAUACCAUGUAAACGUAGAAAUAAGUAAUAAGCAGCCCCUCGAUAUUUUCCAAAGUCCUUAAUUUUUUUCUAUUCAAAUAAUUUCAAUUAUCUUUGCGUUUUUUCUGUAUGAUGUGAACAUAUUAUUAGAAAUAAUUUCUUUUCACCAUUUACUAUUGAUUCCAAGCUAAAGUUAACUAUAUUCAUAGCUGUCACUGAUGCAUAAUAUAUUGGUCACUAAAGUGUUAGUUACUUAGUGACAUAAUCAUUAAUUCUUUAUAUGUUGUGACAUACAUGACAUAAGUAAAAUAAUGAAGUGAAUAAAUAUAUAUUUUCAGCCUACAAGAAGACCAAUGUCGAUCAAGUAAUUCCAUGGUUGCCUUCAUUAUUCUAACUGUAUACACUUAAAGUUUAUCGUUUCUAAGACAAAUACCACACAGAAGAAAUAUAGACAUUUAUCACUAGACGGACAAAGAACUACAUUAGAAGCUAUGUCUUAUAACGAAGUUGAUGCAGUUAUCUCUCUUGAUGAGACUCGUUGCCAUGUCAAUCGGCAAUCCUCAGGUGACUCCGCAACUUUGACGAAUCAUUGUCAUGCCAAUCGGCAAUCCUCGGGAGACUCAUCUACUGUGACGAAUCAUUGCCAUGCCAAUCGGCGAUCCUCAGAAGACUUCACUACUGUGACGAAUCAUUGCCAUGCCAAUCGGCAAUCCUCGGAAGACUCUGCUACUGUGACAAAUGAUUGCCAUGCACCACUGGACCAAACAAGAUGUAAAAUUGAGGACCAAACUGUGUAUGAUGAAGAAUGGAGUUGUAAUUCAGAAUUGAGAAUAAAUACAGGAAUUACACCAUCAAAAUUUGAUAUAGAUAUCAAAGCGGAGAGUGAUUCAGAGAAUUCUGUAUUGCAAGGACACAUGAGAACCCAAACAUCUGAUGAAACGUUUGUAUGUAGUGUAUGUGAUAAAAACUUCUUUCGGGAAACUGAUUUACUUGUACACAUGAGAAUACACCCACCUUAUAAAUGUGAUAUAUGUCAAAAAGAGUUCAGUACAAAUGGCAACUUAAAAACCCAUAUGAAAACACAUCCCAUGGAAAAACGUUUACAGACUCACACGAAAACACAUACUGGUGAUAAUCCUUAUAAAUGUGAUGUAUGUUGUAAAGUCUUUAAAACCAAACGAGGUUUAAAACAACACAAACAAAUACAUUCUGUUGAUGAACCACCUAUGAAAUGUGAAAUCUGCUGUAGAGGGUUCUAUAAAAAAAGCAUCUUAACUAUCCACAUGAGAACACAUACUGGUGAUAAACCUCACAAAUGUGAUGUAUGUUGCAAACGGUUUAAUCAUAAACCCAACUUAACUGUACACAUGAGAUUACAUACUGGUGAAAAACCUUAUAAAUGUGACUUAUGUUGUAGAAGGUUUAAUAGUAAGGGGCAUAUGACUAAACACAUGGCAUCGCAUAAAGAUAAAGGCAACUUAACUGUACACAUGAGAUUACAUACUGGUGAAAAACCUUAUAGAUGUGACUUAUGUUGUAGAAGGUUUAAUAGUAAGGAGCAUAUUACUAAACACAUGGCAUCGCAUAAAGGAAAAAGUAAACAAUUUAAAUGUAAUGAGUGUGGUUUAGAAUAUAAUUUGAAGAGUUUAUUACGGUUACACAUAAAGAAAACACACAUGAAAAAGAGAGUUACUGAAUGUGAUUUAUGUGGUAAAAUGUGUAUAGAUCCAAGAACACUUACCAAACACACGAGAACACAUAUUGGUGAAAAACCUUAUAACUGUGACGUUUGUAACAAAGAUUUUAAUCAAAGAGGAAGCUUAAAUCAACACAUGAAAUUACAUACGGGGCAAGUAACUAGUGAUACACCUUAUAAAUGUGAUGUUUGCGGUAUAGAGUUCAAGCAAAGGGACACCUUAACCACCCACAUGAGAACACAUACUGGUGACAAUCUUUAUGAAUGUGAUGUUUGCUAUAAAGUGUUCAAUCAGAAAGGCCAUUUAGCAAUACACAUGAGAAACCAUACUGGAGAUAAACCUUACAAAUGUCAUUUAUGUUUUAGAGGGUUUAAUUAUAAAGGGAGCUUGACUAGACACGUGGGCACACAUGCUGAAGAUCAACUUUAUAAAUGUGAGGUUGAACCUUAUAAAUAUUUAACCAGACACAUGGGAACACAUGCUGAUGAUAACCUUUAUACAUGUGAUGUUAAAUCUUAUGAAUGUGAUGUUUGUGGUAAAGGAUUCAAUCUAAAAGGAGAUGUAAAAAGACACAUGAGAACACACACUGAAGAUAGACCGUAUAAAUGUGAUGAUUGCUGUCAG
This 13663-nucleotide long non-coding RNA is filed under the name Mytilus galloprovincialis (Mediterranean mussel). The record is from RNAcentral. Lineage: Eukaryota; Metazoa; Mollusca; Bivalvia; Mytilida; Mytilidae.